Mercenaria mercenaria is the source of this 3187-nucleotide long non-coding RNA. RefSeq lists it as uncharacterized. The record is from RefSeq and is a predicted model, not a curated record. Lineage: Eukaryota; Metazoa; Mollusca; Bivalvia; Venerida; Veneridae. The transcript has 2 exons.
UAAUGGAUACAAGUCUCAUUAUACCACAGAAGCAAACACUAAUUCUUCUAUCAAAUAAAACCUCUAUCUGAAAGCCACAAUAUGACAUCGCGAAAAUAUGCGAGACACUUCCAAUAAAGAAUAACCAUUUUAAACACAAACUUUUCUAGCUAGUUAAUGUAAAAACGCAGGCAUAUUCAAAACAUGUUUCAGCCGUAAAUAUAGCUCAUAUGACCAAUGAUUUCUUUAACAAAGGGGUAUGUCGAGCACACAUUACUGAUUGCAAUUACGGGACAUCGCUAUUUCGAAAUAUUCAGUGUCACUUUGAUUGCAAGGUAUUCUUCAUCCUUAAACAAAUGUCGUGUUUUUAUUCAUCCUAAAUUUGAAAGCAUGAUAGAUAUGUGAUUGUAAUGGGUAAAAAUAAGAGUGGCAUUUAUACAUAAUGUAUAUCGAAUGUCUAUAGACGGUUGCGUGACGCAUUCGUUGCUUUUGCGGUUUCAUGUAGUUUACAUCCUGUGCGAAAGGGUCUUCCCCUGUAAAUAAAAAAAUCCUGUAUUUAUUCUUGCCAUUUAUAAAUAAGCUUUAUUUUGGUUUAUGAUCGGGUUUUUACCACUGGUAAAUGUGUAUAAAAAUGCACAGCUGGCUCUACAUUUUAGCAAACAUAUCUUUGCCUUUGGGAACGUUUGAAAACAUAUUACAAAAAGAUAAAUAUUUAGAGAAGUUAUACUUAUUACAAGAAGAUAAAUAUUUAGAGAAGUUAUACUUAUUACGAAAAGAGCAAAAUGAGGUUCACCGUUUUAUACUGUACACUGUGGUUAGUUUUACUCUUUCCUUUCAACACAUCAGGUAAAGUGUGUUUAGACUGGACCAAAAACUGCUAUUCCGAGCGCCGGACAUGUCAUGGAAUGACUUCCGGAUUAAAUUUAUAUAAUAUGCAAAGUUGUUCGCACCAGUGUUGGAAUAUGGGAUAUUUACAUGGGAACUGUAUGAAAAUAAAUGAACCAAGAACAUUUAACUGCAAAACAAGAUCUAAACAUGCAUGGAUUUGUUUGUGUGAUCACAGCCGCCCCGGAUGGAAGCAUGGACACUGCAAAUAACAAACUUUCAUUGUGGUCUUCAACUCGUAAAGGACUGCCGAACUUAAGAUCAAGGAUUCAUCUUGCACUGAAACAUAUAGGCCUAUGUACGGCGAUUUGACAAAACUACUGCUCAUCUGAAUAACGCCGAUUUCAAAGAUCGAGGGAUUGAUGAAAUUCACAGAUAUAUACUGCUUCAGUACACAUAUAUUUUGAUGACAAGAUAUACACACAACUUAAACCAUGUGAUAACUUACGAUCUAGAAGAAUGCCUUUACGGUCAGAAGCAGUAUGGUUGAACUAUUGAUGAAAAAAAAAUGAUUAUUUUACUUUUUUACUUUACAUUAUUCCACGCUGCCAAACUUCAAUAAUAAUUUACAUAUUUUGUUAUAUUGUUUUUGAUAUUUAUUUAUUUAUUUAUUUAUUUGUUGACCAUUCAUGCAUGAUUUAUUGGGCUGUGCCCAGUAGCAUAUUAUCACUGACAUCCCUGUUUUUCGGCGACGCCGUCUAAAUUCGUUUUCGUUACCUAUGCCACGUGACUUCAGUUUGCAAAUCAAACUACUUGAUAACGCAUUAUAGAUAAUUUAUCAAAAUGGAAGAUUUAUGCAACACUCUUCCUGAUUGGGCGAGAGUGUUAAUUUCUUUCACUCUGUUGAUUGUGCUACGCUGAGUGAAAUGUAGACAAAGCGUUUAUCCUAAACGACGCUGUUCACAGUUUUAAAGCUAACUUUGGCUCAGUAUAUUAAGCAAGAAUAUUGAUAUAUCUCAAAAUGAUAAGUAAGUUUAAUAAAUAUGAUAAAAACCUGUUCAAAUACCAACAUAUAUCAUAUUAAAGAAAGAGCUGAAUACGGUCUGUGUAUCACAUGAAUAAGGGUGUGAUAAGAGUCUUUUAUGUAGAGAAGUAUUUUUUAAAAGAUUUUCCUUGUAACAAUUGUCGUCUGUAUAUGAAAAGGUUUCUUGCUUUUGUGACUUAUUCAGAUUGCAUAUUAAAAUGAGUACUUGUUUGCUUUGAAUAUAUUUGUUAUAAGUUAUUUAACUGAUUUAUUAUAUAUGAAUAUUUUUCUUUAGUAUGGUAUGCAAAUAUUGAACUCAGUUGAAAUCUGUUUUAUUAUAUAUAUGCUAUAUACUGACCGAAUCUCAUUACACUGAAAUGAAGGUACGCUGCAUACAGUUUAUCUAUGUGAUAUGACUACGGUCAAACUUUGCUUAUGAAUUAGAAAUAUUGAAAUAAUUACAUUUGUAUGUUUUGCUUGACCUUCACUUUUUUAUAGGUGUGACGUCAUUGUCCAAAGAUUCAUGAAUAGCGAAUAUGCAUUUGUUAAAGCGGGAUCAGUUGGCCUAUUUUAGAAAUAAAUAAAAAUAAUAAAUAAAAAAAAUCCUUUAAUUGAUUUUUUCUCAUGUAUUCUAAUCAAACUUGAUUUGUAGCAUCUUUAUUAGGCCCGCAGCCAACUUUGUUCAGCUGAGACAUUUAACCCCUUUUAGGGGCUGCUAGAGCUAAAACUAGAAAUGCCUUUAUACAGCGUCUCAUGAACAGUUUGGUGGAUCUUUGUCAUACUUGGUCUGGAGCAUCAUUAUAAGGCCCUCUUCCAAAUUUAUUUAUAUAGGAACUUGGGCCCUAUUAGGGACCGCUAUAGCUAAAAGUAGAUAUGCCUUUCUUCGCAUUAACCACUAAAAUGUAAUGGAUUUUUAUCAAACUCGAUAUGUAACAAUAUUGUAAGGUCUCCUGCUAUUUUGUUACAAAUGGGGAUAGGGACCAACUUAGCUAAAAAAUAUAAACACGUUUAAUGACCUCUUCUCAUGAACCGCUUCAUGGAUCUUCAUCAAACUACUGCUGUAAUUAUUCGUCUAAGGAUAAACGAAACAAAAUUGCAACCCCACGAAACCUUUGCGAAAAAUUAAAAGAGAACCAUUUAAAUUGUUAAAGUGCGGUGUUUAGUUUUGCAAUUUGAAAAAUGUUAGAUGAAAGAUGAAUGUUAGAUGAAAAAUUCAUAAACUUCUUUCCUUAUUACAAUUCGCCGACCAUUAUUUUUAAAGAUAUUUCUUGUUAUGUUAUAAAUUUGUAUUGUACAAUUUAAAUGAUUUUGUGCCUUUUACUUGUUAUUUUUUAAAUAAACUUUCACAAUGCCAUAUGA